RNAcentral lists this ribosomal RNA (511 nucleotides) under uncultured bacterium. RNAcentral describes it as "bacterial SSU rRNA". It matches the Rfam family "Bacterial small subunit ribosomal RNA", at positions 15 to 518 of the family's 1533-position model. The record is from RNAcentral.
GAUCAUGGCUCAGGACGAACGCUGGCGGCGUGCUUAACACAUGCAAGUCGAACGAGGAUAUAUGAGUAGAGAGCUCCGGCAGGAAAUGAAUAUAUUCGAGUGGCGGACGGGUGAGUAACGCGUGAAUGAUCUGUCCCAGACAGGGGGAUAACACUUGGAAACAGGUGCUAAUACCGCAUAAGACCACAGCAUCGCAUGGUGGAGGGGUAAAAGGAGGAAUCCGGUUUGGGGUGAGUUCGCGUCCGAUUAGAUAGUUGGUGAGGUAACGGCCCACCAAGUCGACGAUCGGUAGCCGACCUGAGAGGGUGAUCGGCCACAUUGGAACUGAGAGACGGUCCAAACUCCUACGGGAGGCAGCAGUGGGGAAUAUUGGGCAAUGGGCGAAAAAGCCUGACCCAGCAACGCCGCGUGAGUGAUGAAGGCCUUCGGGUUGUAAAGCUCUGUUAUAGGGGACGAAGGAAGUGACGGUACCCUAUAAGGAAGCCCCGGCUAACUACGUGCCAGCCGCCGC